UUUCCCAGUCACGAUAUCGGCCCGCAGUGCAGGUCCAGGCGUGUGGCUGGGUAGGGGAGCGUCGUGUCGCCGGUGAAGCGGCCGCGGAAGCGAGCCGUGGAGGCGACACGAGUGAGAAUGCAGGCAUGAGUAGCGAAUGACGGGCGAGAAACCCGUCCGCCGGAUGACCAAGGGUUCCAGGGUCAAGCUAAUCUGCCCUGGGUAAGUCGGGACCUAAGGCGAGGCCGACAGGCGUAGUCGAUGGACAACGGGUUGAUAUUCCCGUACCGGUGUUGUUGCGCCCAUGCUGACCGCGGUAAUGCUCAGCACUCGUGGACCGCGCCCUUCGGGGUGAGGUCCAGGACUGCGAACCAAACCGUCAGUAGGCAAGCGAUGGGGUGACGCAGGAAGGUAGCCCAACCCGGGCGAUGGUAGUCCCGGGGUAAGGAUGUAGGCCGGUGUGCAGGCAAAUCCGCACGCCAAUGGCUGAGAUCUGAUGCCGAGCUUAGGCGAAGUGGGUGAUCCUCUGCUGCCAAGAAAAGCCUCUAGCGAGUAGCAACGCCGCCCGUACCCCAAACCGACUCAGGUGGUCAGGUAGAGAAUACCGAGGCGAUCGAGAGAACCAUGGUUAAGGAACUCGGCAAAUUGCCCCCGUAACUUCGGGAGAAGGGGGGCCGGUGUGCGUGAAGGAGCUUGCCUCCGGAGCGCGUGCUGGCCGCAGAGACCAGGCUCAAGCGACUGUUUACUAAAAACACAGGUCCGUGCGAAGUUGCAAAACGAUGUAUACGGACUGACGCCUGCCCGGUGCUGGAACGUUAAGGGGAAGGGUCAGCAGCAAUGCGAAGCUCCGAACUUAAGCGCCAGUAAACGGCGGUGGUAACUAUAACCAUCCUAAGGUAGCGAAAUUCCUUGUCGGGUAAGUUCCGACCUGCACGAAUGGCGUAACGACUUGAGCGCUGUCUCAACCGUGGACUCGGCGAAAUUGCACUACGAGUGAAGAUGCUCGUUACGCGUGGAAGGACGGAAAGACCCCGGGACCUUUACUACAGCUUGGUAUUGGUGGUCGGUUCGACUUGUGUAGGAUAGGUGGGAGACUGUGAAGCGCUCACGCCAGUGGGUGUGGAGUCAACGUUGAAAUACCACUCUGGUCGUACUGGCUGUCUAACCUAGGUCCGUAAUCCGGAUCAGGGACAGUGCCUGGUGGGUAGUUUAACUGGGGCGGUUGCCUCCUAAAAAGUAACGGAGGCGCCCAAAGGUUCCCUCAACCUGGUUGGCAAUCAGGUGUUGAGUGCAAGUGCACAAGGGAGCUUGACUGCGAGACUGACAGGUCGAGCAGGGACGAAAGUCGGGACUAGUGAUCCGGCGCCGGCAAGUGGAAGCGGCGUCGCUCAACGGAUAAAAGGUACCCCGGGGAUAACAGGCUGAUCUUACCCAAGAGCUCAUAUCGACGGGAUGGUUUGGCACCUCGAUGUCGGCUCGUCGCAUCCUGGGGCUGGAGCAGGUCCCAAGGGUUAGGCUGUUCGCCUAUUAAAGCGGUACUCGAGCUGGG
Molecule: ribosomal RNA, 1528 nt
Filed under: freshwater metagenome
Description: bacterial LSU rRNA
Rfam family: Bacterial large subunit ribosomal RNA
Source: RNAcentral